This 376-nucleotide long non-coding RNA is filed under the name Vigna radiata. RNAcentral describes it as "long non-coding RNA (VRAD_LNC008625)". Lineage: Eukaryota; Viridiplantae; Streptophyta; Magnoliopsida; Fabales; Fabaceae. The record is from RNAcentral.
UUCCGGUCUGAUAUUAUGCGUGUAGAUAACCUUUCUCUUUUCUUAAACAUUUCUUCUAGAAAAGUUUCUAACUUUAAUGCAUUAUGCUCACAUUACACGUUACAAACAGUUUCAGAUUGAGUUCUAUAUUAAGCGAAAAUGUGAAAGUGAAGGAAGAAGACCUAGUAAGUUUAAUUGAACUUUUUAGGUUAAUGAUAGAUUAAUAAUUAAGUAAUCUUGCUUAAAGUGAAUAACAAUUCAUUGUUGUAGAUAUCUAAUCAAGUAAUCAUGCUCCUUUUCAGCUUGCGCUCUCGCUUCCUUCCCCUUAUAUAAGCCUCUUCCAAUUCGUUUACUACAAACUUCACAAAUUUUGAAUCUUUCACCUUCCUCUAUAUUC